Molecule: long non-coding RNA, 445 nt
Organism: Cynoglossus semilaevis (tongue sole)
Lineage: Eukaryota; Metazoa; Chordata; Actinopteri; Pleuronectiformes; Cynoglossidae
Exons: 3
Source: RefSeq, a predicted model, not a curated record
AGAGCUCAGCUGAGGUGUCGACAGCAGCGAGCUGAACUUGAUAGUAUAAAACAGUGCAGCCCCAGGAGGACGUGCCAAUACCCGGGCAGCCUCCUGUAAUCAGCGGGACUCCUGUGUCCACUCUGCACUGUUUUUGUUGCCACCAGCAAGUCUGCAGACUGGUUUCCCUGCAGCAGCGGUCUAUCGUCCCACUGACCCGAAGAGUCGACCUGAAGACGUUGCAUACGUUGGUGACUGCAUGUGAAUCUACAUGAAGCACCAGUCCAUCUCCCGGUGGCUGAGCCAGCUGGGUCUGCCCCAGUACUGCACUGCUCUGGAGCAGGAGUACGAUGGUGUGGAGGACCUUCUCCACCUCUCAGAGUAUGACCUCCUGGAGCUCGGAGUGCACAAUCACCUCCACCGUCUGCACCUCCUCACCUCCCUGCGCCUCCUCUGGGAGCGGGAG